UACGGAGGAUGCAAGCGUUAUCCGGAAUUAUUGGGCGUAAAGCGUCCGCAGGUGGCACUUCAAGUCUGUCGUCAAAGACCGGGGCUUAACUUCGGAAAGGCAGUGGAAACUGAACAGCUAGAGUAUGGUAGGGGCAGAGGGAAUUCCUGGUGUAGCGGUGAAAUGCGUAGAGAUCAGGAAGAACAUCGGUGGCGAAGGCGCUCUGCUGGACCAUAACUGACACUCAGGGACGAAAGCUAGGGGAGCGAAUGGG
RNAcentral lists this ribosomal RNA (253 nucleotides) under uncultured bacterium. RNAcentral describes it as "partial 16S ribosomal RNA". It matches the Rfam family "Bacterial small subunit ribosomal RNA", at positions 524 to 776 of the family's 1533-position model. The record is from RNAcentral.